Molecule: ribosomal RNA, 571 nt
Filed under: Pichia manshurica
Lineage: Eukaryota; Fungi; Ascomycota; Pichiomycetes; Pichiales; Pichiaceae
Description: partial large subunit ribosomal RNA
Rfam family: Eukaryotic large subunit ribosomal RNA
Source: RNAcentral
GGGAAUGCCCAGUAGCGGCGAGUGAAGCGGCAAGAGCUCAGAUUUGAAAUCGUGUUUCGGCACGAGUUGUAGAGUGUAGGCGGGAGUCUCUGUGGAGCGCGGUGUCCAAGUCCCUUGGAACAGGGUGCCUGAGAGGGUGAGAGCCCCGUAGGGUGCUGCGCGAAGCUUUUGAGGCCCUGCUGACGAGUCGAGUUGUUUGGGAAUGCAGCUCCAAGCGGGUGGUAAAUUCCAUCUAAGGCUAAAUAUUGGCGAGAGACCGAUAGCGAACAAGUACUGUGAAGGAAAGAUGAAAAGCACUUUGAAAAGAGAGUGAAACAGCACGUGAAAUUGUUGAAAGGGAAGGGUAUUGGGCUCGACAUGGGGGGUGCGCACCGCUGUCUCUUGUAGGCGGCGCUCUGGGCGCCCUCUGGGCCAGCAUCGGUUCCUGCUGCGGGAGAAGGGGCUCCGGAAAGUGGCUCUUCGGAGUGUUAUAGCCGGGGCCAGAUGCCGCGUGUGGGGACCGAGGACUGCGGCUUCUGUCUCGGAUGCUGGCAUAACGGCGCAAUACCGCCCGUCUUGAACCACCGGACCA